AUGUUGCAGGAGGAUGGGGGUAUCGAUGAAGAUGUGAACCAUCGAAUCAAAGUCGGAUGGAUGAAGUGGCGCCAAGCUUCUGGCAUUCUCUGUGACAAGAGAGUGCCACAAAAGCUAAAAGGCAAGUUCUACAGGACGGCGGUUCGACCCGCAAUGUUGUAUGGCGCUGAGUGUUGGCCGACUAAAAGGCGACAUGUUCAACAGUUAAGUGUGGUGGAGAUGCGUAUGUUGAGAUGGAUGUGUGGCCACACGAGGAAGGAUCGAGUCCGGUAUGAUGAUAUACGAGAUAGAGUUGGGUAG
RNAcentral lists this ribosomal RNA (300 nucleotides) under Triticum aestivum (bread wheat). RNAcentral describes it as "partial small subunit ribosomal RNA". Lineage: Eukaryota; Viridiplantae; Streptophyta; Magnoliopsida; Poales; Poaceae. The record is from RNAcentral.